Molecule: long non-coding RNA, 1617 nt
Filed under: Anas platyrhynchos platyrhynchos (common mallard)
Lineage: Eukaryota; Metazoa; Chordata; Aves; Anseriformes; Anatidae
Description: lncRNA (ENSAPLG00000017303.1)
Source: RNAcentral
GUUUCUUUUUGUUUGCUUGUUUCUUUUCAGUUUGUGUGGGAAGCUAAUUUGCAUUCAAAGUUCCAGUUCAAGAUCAUUUGAAAGGCAGGUUUUCCUCUUAUACAGAAUUAAAUAUGCAAUGGACCUUUUCUUAACAAACAGGCUGAGAGUCUGUAAUAUACAGAUCUCCAGAUUUCAUUUAGGAGGCAGUUGCAUAUAAAAGAGAAAAAAAUGAAAUUUGAACCAUUCUUUCUAUGUAACUAUAUAGAAUAUAUAUAUAUAUGUGGUUUUUUUUUUCAGGAAAAAAAAAAAAGCAGAGGAACUGGAGGUAAAUGUGGAGACCUCUUCUACUUCAUUUCUGGUAAACAUAUUAAUGUUGAGCUAAACAUCAUGACAAAUUGCAUCUAACAUAUAUAAAGAACACCCCAUAUAAUUGAUAUGGAUGUGACAUGGAGUUUCAGACCAAUGAAGAAAGACCAAGCAUAUCAGAAGAGACUGAGUUUGAAGGAGCCAGCGCACCCCCCAUGAGGAAGGGGACGAAUUGCAGCCCAGAUUAUUAUGGGUGCAGGGCUGUCUAUAGAGCACCACUGAAGACUCAGCAACCUUCUGCUCAGGCGUGGAUGUCCUCUCUGGCUUGAGUACAAAAUUAUAUCACUGACCUGUGCCUCAAGAGAAGUUCAGAGGAAAUAUUUCUGCUCUGCUUUUCUACCUUCCUCCCCAUUUCUCUGUCCCUUCCCAUUAAUUGUCCCUUUCCAUUCCCUCCUUAUCAUGCUUUUAUCAAUAAUUAAAAUAUUUAUAGUGAAGCACAAACACUGAAGUAAAGUCAACAGGCAUCUUUAAACCAAUAGCACUACUCUCCCUUGAGUCACCUUGGUUCAGGCACCUGUUACCAUAUGUAAAGAUACUUUACAAGCACAAAGAGAGUGCAGAAGUUAUUGGGUAACACAAACAACAGGUGGCCAGGACCGACACAGUGCCAUACUAAGCACUAACAUGUUCCUCAGGCCUUACAAAAGACUUCUGCAAGUAGCUGUCAGUCAGAAUGAAUGAGCCUCCCCUGCAGCCCUGAGCAGGCUGAGACUUGGUCUUGUUGAAUUACCCUCAUUUGGUUCCCUUUUGGGAUUUUUUUUAACCUUUUUUACCUUUUUUUGUUUGUUUGUUUGUUAGACUUAUUCUUGACAAGGUUUUUAUACAGAAUCCUUGAGUUGGUAACAGAGCCAGCAGCUGCCUGACUUCCUAAUCAUUGAGUGGCUCUAGCUCCAGCACUUUCUAACACUUUACCUGUUUUCUUAGGCUGAUCUCAGGUCCCACAACAGUAUUGUUUUAACAACAAGUUUAGUCAGAACAGCUGCUUUCCUGGGCCCAGAGUUACAUACAUACCAUGAUUUGGCCCCUUUCUUACAUUACAUGACCUACUUCCAAACAUUUGGAAGGCAAACUAAGUGUUAGGAUUGAUCCUCUCCUAUAGGACAUUCAAACUGCUUUUGUACCUGCUGGAGAGAGGAGACACCCCUGGGAGGAGGAGUAGGUGGUCAGGACAGUACAUAGCUGUCUCAGUAGUUUUCAAGCGUCAUGGAUAGCACAUAUUCUGCCAUCUUUGGACUGUAUUAUGGCUUUUUUUUUUGGGGGGGCAUCUAC